AAGGAGUCUAACAUGCAUGCGAGUGUUUGGGUGGAAAACCCGAGCGCGUAAUGAAAGUGAAAGUUGGGAUCCCUGUCGUGGGGAGCGCCGACGCCCAUACCAGACCUUCUGUGACGGAUAUGCGGUAGAGCAUGUAUGUUGGGACCCGAAAGAUGGUGAACUAUGCCUGAAUAGGGUGAAGCCAGAGGAAACUCUGGUGGAGGCUCGUAGCGAUUCUGACGUGCAAAUCGAUCGUCAAAUUUGGGUAUAGGGGCGAAAGACUAAUCGAACCAUCUAGUAGCUGGUUCUUGC
Molecule: unclassified non-coding RNA, 291 nt
Filed under: uncultured fungus
Lineage: Eukaryota; Fungi
Description: partial contains 5.8S rRNA, ITS2 and 28S rRNA
Rfam family: Eukaryotic large subunit ribosomal RNA
Source: RNAcentral